GUACUUACGGGAGGCAGCAGUGGAGAAUAUUGGGCAAUGGGCGCAAGCCUGACCCAGCAAUGCCGCGUGAAGGAAGAAGGCCCUCGGGUUGUAAACUUCUUUUAUCAGGGACGAAGGAUGUGACGGUACCUGAUGAAUAAGCUCCGGCUAACUACGUGCCAGCAGCCGCGGUAAUACGUAGGGAGCAAGCGUUAUCCGGAUUUAUUGGGUGUAAAGGGCGUGUAGGCGGGAGCGCAAGUCAGAUGUGAAAACUCAGGGCUCAACCCUGAGCCUGCAUUUGAAACUGUGUUUCUUGAGUGCUGGAG
This 305-nucleotide ribosomal RNA is filed under the name uncultured bacterium. RNAcentral describes it as "bacterial SSU rRNA". It matches the Rfam family "Bacterial small subunit ribosomal RNA", at positions 335 to 654 of the family's 1533-position model. The record is from RNAcentral.